Molecule: long non-coding RNA, 872 nt
Filed under: Equus asinus (donkey)
Lineage: Eukaryota; Metazoa; Chordata; Mammalia; Perissodactyla; Equidae
Description: lncRNA (ENSEASG00005027610.1)
Source: RNAcentral
GAAUUAAAGAGCAAUAGCCAGCAUACUGUGGCCUACGUUAAGAUAUUGGAAUUAAUUUGUGUCUGCACUGCUGAGUUCCCACGCUGUUGGACACGGCAAAGAGGCGAAGAGAGAAAAAGGUGCAUAUACGAAGCUCCCGCCAUUUAUUAAUGCGACAAAAGUUGUUCCUAUUCAAAAGUCCCUUUAGGACAUCUUGCGAGACAUGGUCUGGAGUAAUUUCAAGAAACAGAGAGGGAAGAAGGAAUAAGAGGGGCCAAGAAAAGAUCCAGAGAGAGAGACCUCACACAACGGAGCGAAAGGAGAGAGGGAUGCGGACUAUCACAGAAGCCAGAAGGAAGGAACUUCCAACAUGCAGACGAAAUGCAUCACCUCCUCACACACGUAUGUCAUUUCCUCAAAGGCAUGGAGCUAGUUGUCUGCGGGAUCCUCUUCAGCUCUGAGAACUGACUGUAAACUCCGAGGGAAGCGAUCGUGCUCUGCUGUUCACUUCUGCACCGCAGUCCCUGGGAUGGGACUUAGCACGAUCCACGCCCCGUAAACGUUUGUGAAAUGAAUAGAGGCGUUGUGUGAAAAGUAUUUUUGUAUGGAAAUGAAGGAAGGAAGGAUGGAAAAAUGGAAAUAAGAAAAGAACAAAAAAGGAAAGAAGGAAGAAAGAACUCUACAAGGACUCUCAUAUGGCUAAUCUUCACAUUCAGCUGGAGGAACCCUUACGCCUAUAUUACAGCUUCUUGUUGCCCCAGUGUUUUUAAGAAAAACAGUGAAAACGAAUGGCCUGAGAGAGUCAGCAGACACUGACGCGGGCUCUGCCCUGCCACAGUGCCGAUGUUCUCUGGGCUAACAAGGGAGCAGGGCUGGAGGGUCUCUGAUGUUCC